Molecule: non-coding RNA, 524 nt
Filed under: Pan troglodytes (chimpanzee)
Lineage: Eukaryota; Metazoa; Chordata; Mammalia; Primates; Hominidae
Source: RNAcentral
UUACGAGGGCUCCUCCCUUCAGCUUUGGUCCCUCGGGGCGUCUGGGCAGCCUACGCUUUCCGACUGGAAUCAGCCAUUUUACCAAGAAAGUUGGGUUUCUUUUACUGGCAAAUAGUACUUCAAGAGCACAGUCUUAUGUAAGGUGUGGAGAUGCUUGUAUCUGGGACCCCCUGCCAUUUCUCAGGACACCCUCCUGCUCCUAGCUGGGAGAUCCAGCAUCCUCAUGAAUGCGGGGCCCAAGGCCACCAACUGUUCCACCUGCUGUCAGCCAGGCCUGUUGCCCCAGCCCUACACCCACAGCUCACCCAGCAGGGACUGGAGUGUGCUGCUGCACUGCUGGAGCCGGUCGCCCGGGUCAGAGGUUGGGAAGAAGACAGCUGCUGGCAGGCCACUGGUUGGGGGGUCCAGCCGGAAGCCCACAGCGGUGAGGAGGGCCUGCCAGCCAGGGAUGCCGCCCACUUUGUUCUCCACACUCUGCUGGGACGUGUACAUGGCGUUGCGCUGCCCAUUCUGGAUGCGCUGCA